GUGAAGCGGCAUCAGCUCAAAUUUGAAAUCUGGCUCUUUCAGGGUCCGAGUUGUAAUUUGCAGAGGGCGCUUUGGCGUUGGCAGCGGUCCAAGUUCCUUGGAACAGGACGUCACAGAGGGUGAGAAUCCCGUACGUGGUCGCUGGCCUUCGCCGUGUAAAGCCCCUUCGACGAGUCGAGUUGUUUGGGAAUGCAGCUCUAAAUGGGAGGUAAAUUUCUUCUAAAGCUAAAUACUGGCCAGAGACCGAUAGCGCACAAGUAGAGUGAUCGAAAGAUGAAAAGCACUUUGGAAAGAGAGUCAAAUAGCACGUGAAAUUGUUGAAAGGGAAGCGCUUGCAGCCAGACUUGCCUGUAGUUGCUCAUCCGGGCUUUUGCCCGGUGCAUUCUUCUGUAGGCAGGCCAGCAUCAGUUUGGGCGGUUGGAUAAAGGUCUCUGUCACGUACCUCCUCUCGGGGAGGCCUUAUAGGGGAGACGACAUGCAACCAGCCUGGACUGAGGUCCGCGCAUCUGCUAGGAUGCUGGCGUAAUGGCUGUAAGCGGCCCGUCUUGAAACACGGACCAAGGAGUCUAACAUCUAUGCGAGUGUUUGGGUGUCAAGCCCGAGCGCGUAAUGAAAGUGAACGGAGGUGGGAUCCCUUAAGGGUGCACCAUCGACCGAUCCUGAUGUCUUCGGAUGGAUUUGAGUAAGAGCAUGGCUGUUGGGACCCGAAAGAUGGUGAACUAUGCUUGAAUAGGGUGAAGCCAGAGGAAACUCUGGUGGAGGCUCGCAGCGG
This 772-nucleotide ribosomal RNA is filed under the name Setophaeosphaeria badalingensis. RNAcentral's name for it is "LSU rRNA". It matches the Rfam family "Eukaryotic large subunit ribosomal RNA", at positions 93 to 883 of the family's 3401-position model. The record is from RNAcentral. Lineage: Eukaryota; Fungi; Ascomycota; Dothideomycetes; Pleosporales; Phaeosphaeriaceae.